This 301-nucleotide ribosomal RNA is filed under the name uncultured bacterium. RNAcentral describes it as "partial 16S ribosomal RNA". It matches the Rfam family "Bacterial small subunit ribosomal RNA", at positions 509 to 807 of the family's 1533-position model. The record is from RNAcentral.
CAGUAGCCGCGGUAAUACAGAGGGUGCGAGCGUUAAUCGGAUUUACUGGGCGUAAAGCGUGCGUAGGCGGCUUCUUAAGUCGGAUGUGAAAUCCCUGAGCUUAACUUAGGAAUUGCAUUCGAUACUGGGAAGCUAGAGUAUGGGAGAGGAUGGUAGAAUUCCAGGUGUAGCGGUGAAAUGCGUAGAGAUCUGGAGGAAUACCGAUGGCGAUGGCAGCCAUCUGGCCUAAUACUGACGCUGAGGUACGAAAGCAUGGGGAGCAAACAGGAUUAGAUACCCCUGUAGUCCCUGUCUCUUAUAC